UUUCCGUAGGUGAACCUGCGGAAGGAUCAUUCAUAAUAAGUGUUUUACUGCACUUUUUAAAAAUAGUACUCACCUUGUGUGCUAUGUUGUGUUUCUUUUCGGAGAAACACCUACACCAACCUAUAACCUUGAACCACUUUGUCUGAAAAACUAUUAUGAAUACUUAAUUCAAAAUACAACUUUCAACAACGGAUCUCUUGGCUCUC
This 206-nucleotide unclassified non-coding RNA is filed under the name plant metagenome. Its description in RNAcentral is "partial contains small subunit ribosomal RNA, internal transcribed spacer 1, and 5.8S ribosomal RNA". The record is from RNAcentral.